GAUGAACGCUGGCGGCGUGCCUAAUACAUGCAAGUCGAGCGAACGGACGAGAAGCUUGCUUCUCUGAUGUUAGCGGCGGACGGGUGAGUAACACGUGGAUAACCUACCUAUAAGACUGGGAUAACUUCGGGAAACCGGAGCUAAUACCGGAUGAUAUUUUGAACCGCAUUGUUCAAAAGUUAAAGACGGUCUUGCUGUCACUUAUAGAUGGAUCCGCGCUGCAUUAGCUAGUUGGUAAGGUAACGGCUUACCAAGGCAACGAUGCAUAGCCGACCUGAGAGGGUGAUCGGCCACACUGGAACUGAGAUACGGUCCAGACUACUACGGGAGGCAGCAGUAGGGAAUCUUCCGCAAUGGGCGAAAGCCUGACGGAGCAACGCCGCGUGAGUGAUGAAGGUCUUCGGAUCGUAAAACUCUGUUAUUAGGGAAGAACAUAUGUGUAAGUAACUGUGCACAUCUUGACGGUACCUAAUCAGAAAGCCACGGCUAACUACGUG
This 497-nucleotide ribosomal RNA is filed under the name uncultured bacterium. RNAcentral describes it as "partial 16S ribosomal RNA". It matches the Rfam family "Bacterial small subunit ribosomal RNA", at positions 28 to 507 of the family's 1533-position model. The record is from RNAcentral.